Molecule: transfer RNA, 112 nt
Filed under: Chitinophagaceae bacterium
Lineage: Bacteria; Pseudomonadati; Bacteroidota; Chitinophagia; Chitinophagales; Chitinophagaceae
Description: tRNA-Met
Source: RNAcentral
UUAAAGACCGGUUAUAAACCCAAAAAUCGAAAACUGUCAGAUCAAAUAUUAGCAACUACACCUUAUUAGACUCAUAAUCAGAGGGUCGCUGGUUCGAGCCCAGCAGGGUCCA